GAUGAACGCUGGCGGCGUGCCUAAUACAUGCAAGUCGAACGAAGUCUUCGGACUUAGUGGCGAACGGGUGAGUAACACGUUGGUACCUACCCCGAAGUGGGGAAUAACUGCCCGAAAGGGUGGCUAAUACCGCAUAAUACCGCAAGGUUAAAGCAGUAAUGCGCUUCGGGAGGGGCCUGCGUCCCAUUAGCUAGUUGGUAGGGUAGUGGCCUACCAAGGCGACGAUGGGUAGCUGGAUCGAGAGGUUGACCAGCCACACUGGGACUGAGAUACGGCCCAGACUCCUACGGGAGGCAGCAGUAAGGAAUCUUCCACAAUGGACGAAAGUCUGAUGGAGCGACGCCGCGUGCAGGAUGACGGCCUUCGGGUUGUAAACUGCUUUUAUACGGGAAGAUUAUGACGGUACCGUAUGAAUAAGGACCGGCUAACUACGUGCCAGCCGCCGCAGUAA
This 451-nucleotide ribosomal RNA is filed under the name uncultured bacterium. RNAcentral's name for it is "partial 16S ribosomal RNA". It matches the Rfam family "Bacterial small subunit ribosomal RNA", at positions 28 to 523 of the family's 1533-position model. The record is from RNAcentral.